GUCAGGGUAGCUCAGUUGGUUAGAGCACGGCAUUCAUAACGCCGAGGUCGGGAGUUCAACCCUCCCUCCUGACACCA
Molecule: transfer RNA, 77 nt
Filed under: Candidatus Magasanikbacteria bacterium RIFOXYD2_FULL_36_9
Lineage: Bacteria; Candidatus Magasanikiibacteriota
Description: tRNA-Met
Rfam family: tRNA
About the family: Transfer RNA (tRNA) molecules are approximately 80 nucleotides in length. Their secondary structure includes four short double-helical elements and three loops (D, anti-codon, and T loops).
Source: RNAcentral